Molecule: ribosomal RNA, 1047 nt
Filed under: human gut metagenome
Description: bacterial SSU rRNA
Rfam family: Bacterial small subunit ribosomal RNA
Source: RNAcentral
AGAGUUUGAUCCUGGCUCAGAUUGAACGCUGGCGGAACGCUUUACACAUGCAAGUCGAACGGUAACGUGGGGAGGAGCUUGCUCCACCCCGACGACGAGUGGCGAACGGGUGAGUAAUACAUCGGAACGUGUCCGCUCGUGGGGGACAACCAGCCGAAAGGUUGGCUAAUACCGCAUGAGUUCUACGGAAGAAAGAGGGGGACCCGCAAGGGCCUCUCGCGAGCGGAGCGGCCGAUGACUGAUUAGCCGGUUGGUGAGGUAACGGCUCACCAAAGCAACGAUCAGUAGCUGGUCUGAGAGGACGACCAGCCACACUGGGACUGAGACACGGCCCAGACUCCUACGGGAGGCAGCAGUGGGGAAUUUUGGACAAUGGGCGCAAGCCUGAUCCAGCUAUUCCGCGUGUGGGAUGAAGGCCCUCGGGUUGUAAACCACUUUUGUAGAGAACGAAAAGACAUCUUCGAAUAAAGGAUGUUGCUGACGGUACUCUAAGAAUAAGCACCGGCUAACUACGUGCCAGCAGCCGCGGUAAUACGUAGGGUGCGAGCGUUAAUCGGAAUUACUGGGCGUAAAGGGUGCGCAGGCGGUUGAGUAAGACAGAUGUGAAAUCCCCGAGCUUAACUCGGGAAUGGCAUAUGUGACUGCUCGACUAGAGUGUGUCAGAGGGAGGUGGAAUUCCACGUGUAGCAGUGAAAUGCGUAGAUAUGUGGAAGAACACCGAUGGCGAAGGCAGCCUCCUGGGACAUAACUGACGCUCAGGCACGAAAGCGUGGGGAGCAAACAGGAUUAGAUACCCUGGUAGUCCACGCCCUAAACGAUGUUAACUAGUUGUUGGGAUGUAACAAUCUCAGUAACGCAGCCAACGCGAGAAGUUAACCGCCUGGGAAGUACGGUCGCAAGACUAAAACUCAAAGGAAUUGACGGGGACCCGCACAAGCGGUGGAUGAUGUGGAUUAAUUCGAUGCAACGCGAAAAACCUUACCUACCCUUGACAUGUCAGGAAGCUCUUGUAAUGAGAGCGUGCCCGCAAGGGAGCCUGAACACAGG